Molecule: long non-coding RNA, 583 nt
Filed under: Mus pahari (shrew mouse)
Lineage: Eukaryota; Metazoa; Chordata; Mammalia; Rodentia; Muridae
Description: lncRNA (MGP_PahariEiJ_G0005674.1)
Source: RNAcentral
GCAGCACCCCUCCAUGGCCUCUGCAUCAGCUCCUGCCUCCAGGUUCCAGCCAUGUUUGAGUUCCUGUCCUGACUUCCUUUGGUGAUGAACAGCAGUAUGGAAGUAGAAAGACACCGUCUAAGAUCACAGGUCAAAACAGGCAUGGUUGUUUAUGCCUGUACUCCACAAACAUUCAGGAAGCAGAUGCAGGAGGAUCCGAGUUCAAGACCAACUCUGAAUGUGCAGAGAAUUCGAGGCCAGCUGGGCCUACAGGAUCCGUUUCUCAGCAACCAACCAGCCACGGAAACAAGAGAAACUCCUUCCAAAAACGGCAACUCUUAAGUGGAUGUAUGUGCCCUGCACCCGGCCUCCCAUCACAGGAAAGAUGACAGUCCAACAUUAAAGUCAAACCCAGGAACUCAGAGCUGAAGCUGUUGCUAGAAAUGAUUGUUCUUUCCCCAGUGGCUAACAGGAAGGUACUACACUGCUCUUUCACUGUUGUGGCCCAAACCCUUCCUUGCCCUCCGAGACGGUCUGUAAGCUUCGGAAUGGAAAAAGAUUGAAGGAACCCCAGAGCCGACCUCCAUCUGCACAGAUGCCCUGG